Molecule: long non-coding RNA, 1719 nt
Filed under: Physcomitrium patens
Lineage: Eukaryota; Viridiplantae; Streptophyta; Bryopsida; Funariales; Funariaceae
Description: long non-coding RNA (PPAT_LNC004002)
Source: RNAcentral
UAAUAAUAAUAUUAAAAGAGCAGCAAUAUGAAGAUAAAAAGAAGUGAAAGCCUCUAGCAACAAAUCAAUAAAAUUGCCACAACUCAUAUCAAAUAUUCAACACCAAUAUGUACUCAUGGACCACAUUCACAUGUCUAUGAUGAAAAAAAUUAAAAAAUUAAAAAAUUAAAAUUACAAGUAUAGUAGUUUUGAGAGUGCAAGAAUCAUAAUUUUACACACUUCUUUUAAUGAAGGAUCCAGAUCUUUGUUAUUCUUCUUUCAUUGCUAAUAAAAAUUUAAAAAUAAAAUAAAACAGAAAAAAGAAAAGAAAAGAAAAGAAAAUUUUACUAAGUGUGUUUUUUUUUUUUUUUUUUUUUUGAAAUUGAUAUCAUUGUAUUUAAUUGACAAAAAUAAUCAACUUCUAUUAUUUCACAUUUGGGUUCAUGUCCAAAAGACCCACAAAUCUAUGUUAACGGUCAUGAAAUCACGUUUGAAGCACAAAAAAUUUCAAUAAUUUCAAAAAAAAGGAAGCUUGUUGAAAAUUGUGCUCAUUUUUGGUCCACCACACUUGAUAUAUUAUUUAGGUUUUUAUUGUUUUAUGUUUUAUAUGAUCAGAUCAAGGAUCCGGAGCUUCAACAAAUGAUUUAAUUGGCUUCAGGACACAAGAUCUCUAUCUCUUUAAAUUAGUGCCUUUCAUCAUCUCCACAAAACAUGGUACGAGUUGCUUUUGCGGUCAAACAUGAUAUUGUUUUAAUUCCGAAGGCAUUUUCUUAGAAUGUCUUGUGUUGACAUUGGACUCAUAAGAACAUGAUGCCUCUUUGCCAUUUGUGGUUUUGUAAAUUUGUAAUGUUGCUUGGUCUAGUAUGUUUGUUGUUUCCAUCCAAAAAAAUCCUUUUAAAUGUGUUGAAACCAAAGUUGAACUUUGACCAACUCUCACAAUAUAGGUUGUCUUUCUAAUGAAAACCCUGAUUAAACUAUGCCUAAAAUGUAUAUCUAUCUAUCUCUCUCUCUCUCUAUAUAUAUACAUAUGCUCUUGUGACUCAACAUACUAAAUAUAUAGUUAUUUCAUUCUUAUCAUAUCAUUGGCUAUUAAUUUAUGGGUUAAUGAAGACUUGGCAUUAUAUGUUACUUUGUAUCAUUCCCAUUUUUUGAAAAAUGAGGUGAGAGGUUGGAAAUACAUGGAUGCAUUAAGGACUUCUAGUUAUACAUCUCUUUGUAGACAUGAAUAGUGUAAUUUUAAAAAUAUGUGAAAAAUCAUUUAUUUGUUUGAUUCUUUGGUUGAUUGUGAGAUGUAAAUGUUCAGCAGUCUAUUUUUGAUUUAACAAAUUAGUUUGAGUUAAACAAGGACAAUACUCUGAUAAUCUACUAAUCUAGUUAAAUUCAAUAAUGGUACGUUUUCUAAAAGUUACAUAUAUAGAACUACUUUAAAAUUAAAACUAUUUCUAUGCCAUCCAUUUUUUUGAUUUUUUAUUUGGUUUUUUAAAGGUUUUGAUUAAUAAAGUUUUUUGCAAAGUAAUUUUUAUUCAACUGUCUUAUGUUCUUUAUUUCUCAAAGCUAAUUGAUAAUAAAAUUUAACUUUAAUUUUCCUUCUAAGCCACAAUUGGUUUUAUUCAUAAUAUUACUAAUUUAUUUAAGGAUUUUAAUUGAACAUGAAAAUUUAAUCAUCUAUUGCACAAUAUAAUAUCCCGAACACACUAAAAAAGAAAUUAUUAUUUUUAUUUAUUCAUUUUAUUGAAGAAU